GCCUGCCAUAUCUUAAGCAUCUAUGUACUUGCUGCAUGAAAUCUUACAAACUUCACCAGAGUCCAAAAUCAGACAGCUUUUCUAGGUUUUCACUUUCUUUUUCUAAGGAGAACACAGAUUUCUUUCACCAUGAAAAGAAAGGGACCCCAGUCUGGCCCGCAUACACAGAAGCUCUCUUUCUCACAGUAAAUUUUUCCUGCUUCAAAAGAAAGGAAGGGAGGGAGGGAGAAACAGAAAGCAGAAAGAAACAAAGAAAGAGAGAAAGAGAAGAAAGAAGAAAGAAAAGAAAGGGGGCUUGUCGGAAAGAUUCUUCUUAUAAGAGGGGGGCUCGGCCUUUGACCCCAGCAUGUGACCUCACUUCCUUGGCGAUGGGUCCAAACAGAACUUGGAACCCUGCACUCAACUGCCUCCCCGGUCACUUGGCUGAGGACAGUUAGCAGCGAACAUGCUGUGCUGCUUUCCCAGACCUCAAGGCCGCAGGCCCAGGACCCCACGAAAGGAAAGCACUUGGCAACUAGUGAGAGGAUGGUUCACUUGCCCCAGAUGCCUCAGGACACUAUCCAGAAACCGCCCAAACACCAUGGGCAGCACAGGGCAGGUCUCCCCAGACCCAGAUCCCAAGGGCCCAGAGACAAGAGGGAGCCCAGGACGGGUGUCCCCAGGCUCAACCGUUAGCCGCUCGAAGUCACUGAGUCCAGGACAGGUCCAUGGACCGGACACUACUAUGGGAACCCAGUCCGCAGAGAGCCUGGCAGACCUCUGCACAGUGAGCACGGUGCAGGCAGGGCCUUCCCACGCCAUGAUGGAGGCCCUGGAGCAGGACUUCACGGAGAGGAAGAGCAGGUGGGUAUCAGCAGUCCAUGAAUACACAUAAAGAGACACUGGGGGCAGACACUUUUCUAGUUGUUGGCCAUGAUCCUAUAGGCACAGCAGAUGCCAUCACUGCCCUUUUGGUUUGAAGGUUGGGGGCCACAAAGUCCCCCUGGGCAACAGUACAAAUAUUCUGCACACGAAGCAUGAUUUGGUCCUUUCCUGGCCUCCACAGAUAUGGAUAAAAGCAGUGCAACUCUGUCCAGAAAAGAACUAGAUAACAUGGCAACAUAUCGCUGCAUGGGUUAGAGACUCAGCUCUCACUCCUACUUACAGAUGCUACUGACCCCAAUCUUCUCACAUAUUUAUGCAGCAGCCCUGUGCCCUUGAGUGCAAGGACACAGCAGAUCCCAAUCCCCGUCCUCAGGAGCUGAGCUGCCGGUGGGGAGAGGCAGAGGUCAGGCUUCCCUGAAGAAACAGAGGUGUCACAACACAACACAAGGACUACCUCCCACAGAGCUGUCUGUCAGCCUCUCAGGGCUGCCUGGGACUGCACUGUCCCAUUAGGGUCGGCAGAUUGUGGGCCUGGCACUGUACAGAUUGGGCAGGAGGCCCAAGUGUUCCUACCUGCAGGUGCGCUCAGUAGGCAGUGUGCAUUCGAAGGCCUGCUCUCUCACUUUCCCACCUGCCUGUCUUCCCCAGGUGUGCCUCUUCCAUCUUUGACUCCUCACCGGAACUGAUAUCCCAGGUGGAUCCCCAGGAUGACCUUCUCCUGAACC
This is a long non-coding RNA of Fukomys damarensis (Damara mole-rat), 1589 nucleotides long. The record is from Ensembl. NCBI's taxonomy places the organism in Eukaryota, Metazoa, Chordata, Mammalia, Rodentia, Bathyergidae.